AUUGAACGCUGGCGGCAGGCCUAACACAUGCAAGUCGAGCGGAUGAAGGGAGCUUGCUCCUGGAUUCAGCGGCGGACGGGUGAGUAAUGCCUAGGAAUCUGCCUGGUAGUGGGGGAUAACGUCCGGAAACGGGCGCUAAUACCGCAUACGUCCUGAGGGAGAAAGUGGGGGAUCUUCGGACCUCAGGCUAUCAGAUGAGCCUAGGUCGGAUUAGCUAGUUGGUGGGGUAAAGGCCUACCAAGGCGACGAUCCGUAACUGGUCUGAGAGGAUGAUCAGUCACACUGGAGCUGAGACACGGUCCAGACUCCUACGGGAGGCAGCAGUGGGGAAUAUUGGACAAUGGGCGAAAGCCUGAUCCAGCCAUGCCGCGUGUGUGAAGAAGGUCUUCGGAUUGUAAAGCACUUUAAGUUGGGAGGAAGGGCAGUAAGUUAAUACCUUGCUGUUUUGACGUUACCAACAGAAUAAGCACCGGCUAACUUCGUG
RNAcentral lists this ribosomal RNA (484 nucleotides) under uncultured bacterium. RNAcentral describes it as "partial 16S ribosomal RNA". It matches the Rfam family "Bacterial small subunit ribosomal RNA", at positions 30 to 507 of the family's 1533-position model. The record is from RNAcentral.